UUCGUGCCGACACCAAACGUGUCUUUCCUUUCACUGAACUCUGAGAUCGUCUCUCAGGACCAGAGAGGAACAGAUUUACCCUUCAGAGCCGGAGAAAACCUUUUCUUGGGAUUUUCUUUGGGUAUUUUUUUUUUUUUUUGCGAACUUCAAAGCAGAAAACAACACAAAGAAUUUGAUCAACAAAAUCCUGAAGCUGAACUGAUGCUUUUCUGCGGUGCUGCAGCCCUGGCCUACAUUCAGAAUAUUAAUUUCCAUUCUGCACCGGCUGUCCCCCUGGACUCUGCAGCGUACAUGCGUGUGCGCCUGUUGGAUUCGGAGAUGCUUUAUUUGGACCGAGCUCAGGUGCUGAACCUCUCGAGACGCUCUCGGGCCUUUGACGAUACCUUCAGCCGCUCGCUCUGCAUCACUGAUGGGAACAUUUUUUGCUCUCUGCAGGAAAACAGAAUCCCUGACAAGAAUGUGCAGCAAAUGUGGAGGAGAAUACCUGCUGCAAUCAUCACUUUUCCAAAGUAAAGUGAGUUUUCCAACCUCACUUUGAAGAAGCUCAUUGAUUUUGCUCUUUACCUGAUGACACAGCAUUUUGUUUUGUUAGGAAAUGUGGAGCUCCUGAGCGGCGCUGAGCCUCUGGGUGUCACAGAAGCUACCUGUCAGAGAGCGCCAACUUCCUGUUUUUGUUUCCUGAGAGAAAGGAGAAGAUCCAGUUUGUGACGCAAGACAUCUGAGUGGAAGAAGAGAAGGACAAACAUCAACAGAAUGAUCCUGUCUUCCACCUCAGGCAGCUGCAGGAGGAUGGCGAAAGGUCUUUGCAUCCAUCCUCAGUUUUAUAAGGAACCAGAACAAAAAUGAAGAUGAUUACCCAUCCUUCAUUUUUGUUUUUUGUUUUUUAAAAUCCAAACAUCUUUUUUCAUUAUACAUCCAUAAACAACUCAAAGAUUUGGCAAAUUUGUGGGGAGAAAAUGUUCUAACAGCCCAAGAGGGCAGCACACUGACAUACACGAGGAGCUGGUCUGCUCCCCCCACAUCCCACAAUGCACUGCUCUGAGAAGGAAACCUUUGGCUAGGUUUUAGAAAUGCAUCUGCUAAACAGAACUGGAGGAACAGUGGGAUUUCUCUGAGAGAUUUCCCAGAGCCACUGGGAUCCUCUCUCCUUCUGCCAUCAGGACCGAGGCUCCAUCUGAGCAGGAAAUGAUGAAGGAAUGCUGGACGAUGGAGUGGCAUCAGAAAAUUAGAGGUGAACGUCUGGAGGCUGGAAACGGGACCGAGCCCUGAAGACCAUAGCGAGAUACCUCAGGGACCACUGCCCCAGUUGGAAGGACAUCAUCAAGCCAAUCAGGCUCCUGAGGAGCAGAAGAGCAGGACUUCUCACCACCACCACUCCUCCUCUGGGAGCUGCCGCUUCUCUUCAGAUGCAUUUAUCUGACAUUCUUUGGUCCUUCGAGCCGGAAAACAACAUAUCUGCGUCCUUGGGGGAGGACCAUGCCGAUUGAAGUCUGUGCACAGCCCGUGAGACUAGGUCUCCGGAGGAAAGUCCGUCGUAGUGAAUUCUACGCCGGCCAAUCGACUGGUCUGAUCCCUGGGUCCGGAUUGACGUUAUUCGUUAACCAGUCAGACCACAACGACAAGGCAAGUACAGCGCUUUUUCAGGGGUUCGAGUCCCCGAAGUGGCCCAGAAUUCUGAGGGACAGGUUCAAGUCCUGUUGCCUAAAACACGUGUGGGUUUGGAGUCCCGGAAAAGUCCAGAAUUCUAAAUAAAGGUGUAGGUUCGAGUCCUGCAGCCUAAAACGCGUAAGAGGGUUCAAGUCCCUAAAAGGCCUAGAAUAACAACAAAAAUAAAAUAAAAAAAAGUUUUUUUUUGGUGUGAAUGUGUGUGCAUGUGUGAAAGGAGUGAACUUGUUCGAAGCAGUGAGCAGCUGGAAACCUUGCGGUGUUAACACAAGGCUGCUUGUUGGAGUAGAACAAGAUUUCAUCUCAUUAGGCUUUAGGUGAAAAGAACCCAGAGUCUAAAACGGGUUUUGCUCCUGGGAGGACCCUAAACGUGUGACCGGAUCAGACAACAGGUCUGACCUAGAAGCUUGUUGCACGGGGAGUGAAAUUCGGUCCUGAGAGAAAUUCUCUGUUGGUUCUGAUCACACUCUGUGACUAACGUAAAUGUAAAAAAAUAGAAAAAAUAUAAAAAAUGGGGGAAUUCAAAUAAAAAAGUUGAAUUACCAUGAGAUUAAAAAUAUAUAGAAAGAGGUUCAUCCAGGUUCAACUACAUUCUUGAUAAAAUGGGAUAAAACUACAAUUUUAAGGGGAAUGUACUGAAUUAGUUCAACAGUUACCAAUUCAAACCAGAAUAAAAACUAAAAAAGAAACAAAAAAAUAGUGACGAAUUAAUUUGUGCAAAACUGUGCUUAAAUGAAGCAACGAAAAAUAAAGAAUGGCAUUCAGAAAAGUAAAACUAGAGAUAAAUCAGAUGUGAGACUCAGACCCCUGCAACAGCAGGCUGCAGCAGGCUGCAGACCGAGCAGGAGCAGGAUGAAAGGGGGGGAGAGCAGAAACCAGCUGAUUUCUCACCUCCUCCCUACCAGGGGACGAAUGCUCCUCUGUUGACGGGUUUUUACCCACCAGUGACUGAUUUAAAUACACCACAAAAAGAAAAAAUAAUGUUAGGAGGAAAAGGGAAAAAACUUGAAUGGAGAAAAAACUAUGGGGGUUGGUUUGGAAGAAGCUGGAGAGUCAUCUAAAGUUGCAUAGACAUUUACAAUCAUUGAAGUGCCCAAUCCCAGAGCUGGAGAAGAUGGCCAGAGGCCUACACUUCUUUUGUUUAGCACCUGGACAUUAGAGGAUGUUAGGAAGGCAGUGAGGGGAGUUAUCUCUCACAGGGAAAAUCCACAGGAUUUUCACGGGCAAAUGAUGGAAGUUCAGAGAGCUUACCAUCUGAAUAGCAUUAAAUGUCAGAAAGCAUGUAUGACUGCUAUGAAAGCAGACUGGGCAAAAGUAAAGGAAUCCUAUGGAUGAUGAUGAUCCACCCAGACCUCUUCCGCAUAACAGUCUAAGAGUUAAUUCAAAGUCUUACACUUUUAGGACAAAGAAUUAGAGAAGCCUUUCCAAUGAGACCUGAUUAUGGAAAGAUUGGUCAAACUAAAAAAAAAUGGAGAGUUAGUGUCUGAUUUUAGAGUCAGAUUUAAAGAAGUUUUAAAGCUAAUUGUGGACUCAGAGAUAAUGAUAAAAGUCCCUAUAGACAGCAGCUGAAACAAGCUUUACUGCAAGCUAUGAGACCAGAGAUUGCAGACUAGAUAAGGACACUUUACAUAGAUCUGCCUACAGGAGCACUACAACAGUUUGUGAAUUUUGCUGUUCAUGCAGAAAAAGUGAUGGUGAAUAAAAAGAAAUUUAGGAAUCAAAGUGAACAUACAUUUUGGCAGGAGGAAAGUAGUGAUGUGUUUUUUGGAAGGAAUGUGAACAGAGGAAGAAAUUGUGGUUGUGGAAAAGAAAAUUUUAAAGGAAAUUUUAGAAGAAGGUUUAGAGGAAGUAGCAACAGAGGGUCAGAGCAGGUUGAUGGAUGUUGGAUUUGUGGACAGAGAGAUCAUUGGCUGAGAGAUUGUCCUGAAAGAAAGAAAUCAGAUUGACUAGAUGGUAGAAGUAAUGUCAAGAUUAACAAUGAAUCUGAACCAGAAAUUCAACGAAUUUGUGAUAAAUUUUUAGAUCUCACUGAAGUUUGUCUUAUGGAAAAGCCAGAAAUAACUCUUUAUGUUCAGGGACAACCGUUUGUUUUUCUUUGUGACUCAGGGGCUUGUAGAACUGUGAUAAAAAGUCAUUACAAUGAUUUUCCUAAGUCAAAUAAAACAAUACAAAUGAGAUCUGCAGAUGGUCAAAUUGAAACUAAACAUUUGAGUAAACCAGUUUGUUUUGAAAAUCCUGACACUAAUGAAACAACAAGCAUUCCUGUGGUUUUAGCACCAAACUGUCCUUUUAAUCUUUUAGGGAGAGAUGUCAUGAUAAGAUUAAAGUUAGGAAUUUACCCCACCAGAGAAGGGGGGAUGCAAGCACGACGUUGCCCCGAUACAGACAUCUGUGUGCUAGAAGGCAGAGGUGAACCACACUAUUAUUGGACUUUAGAUCUACCUAAAACUGAUCUUGGACAGACUGCAAAAAACUUAAUGGAGAAAGCAAAAGCCAGAGUGUCACCCCAUGCAGAUUUUAUGUCUUCAGACAUUCUGUAUGUCAUGUUAAGAUGCAAAAAGUAUCCUAGCCCUGACAGGAGAUAUGAUGAAGCAGUGAGUAAACUAGGAUUUCAAAAAAUGUACAAUAAAUGAUUUUUAUUGGAAAGAUGAAACUAGUUUCUGUACUGUGACAGUUCCACCAGAAGCAAAAAACUUAAUGUGUACAGAAAGAGUGACAAGUUGGAAACAAAUGGCAGAUGCAGUUCCAUUUAUUUCUUGUUCUAAAGGUUCACGACAAAAAUGGGAAGAAAUGAAAGAACAUGUGCAGGAAGUGACUUAUACUUUGAACAGGUAGAAACAAAGUGGGUUUUGCUGUUGUAACUCAAGACAAGGUUCUGAAGGUAGGACCCCUGUGUGGAAAUUACUCAGCACAAUCAGCAGAGUUGACAGCUUUAACUGAAGCAUGCAAACUGUUUAAAGAUAAGCCAGUUACGAUCUAUACUGAUAGCCAAUAUAGCCUACAGUGCAUUUAUUUUGUCAACAGUGGAAGAACUCAGGGUUAAGACAUCAACAGGAAAACCAGUAACGCAUGUAAACUUACUGAAAGAAUUAUUGACUGCUGUAAUGUUACCAUCUAAAGUAGCAAUAUGUAAAUGGGAGACACACACACGAAGAACAGAUCAUAUUUCUAAAGGGAAUGCCUUUGCAGAUGUAACAGCAAAGCAAGCUGCAACAAAAGAUGUAGAAAUAUGCACAAAUGAGGAUGUGACUGCAGAUGCAACCGCUGAUGUUUUAAAGGAAAUGCAACACAGCGCACCGAAA
Non-coding RNA from Oryzias latipes (Japanese medaka), 4967 nucleotides. NCBI's taxonomy places the organism in Eukaryota, Metazoa, Chordata, Actinopteri, Beloniformes, Adrianichthyidae. The record is from RefSeq and is a predicted model, not a curated record.